This 88-nucleotide ribosomal RNA is filed under the name Gnetum urens. Lineage: Eukaryota; Viridiplantae; Streptophyta; Gnetopsida; Gnetales; Gnetaceae. The record is from RNAcentral.
UCCCAUCAGAACUCCGCAGUUAAGCGUGCUUGGGCUAGGGUUGUACUGGGAUGGGUGACCUCUCGGGAAGUCCUAGUGUUGCACCCUC